Long non-coding RNA from Cygnus atratus (black swan), 776 nucleotides. RefSeq lists it as uncharacterized. The transcript is spliced from 3 exons. The record is from RefSeq and is a predicted model, not a curated record. Lineage: Eukaryota; Metazoa; Chordata; Aves; Anseriformes; Anatidae.
GGAAAGACACAAACAUUCAUCUUUCAGGAACCAAACUCAGGAAAUCAACUUCGUUCACCAAAAAAGUGCACGAGGACAGCCAAGCAUUUCUGUGUCACGAUCCAAAAAAAGCUGUAUGAGCUGAGGAGGGAGCCUCGUGAGCUAGCUAAUAGGCAUCACCAAGCACAAAGACACAGACUGUCAUCUGUUCCUAAACAGAUGACGAGAUAAACCACAGGAAUGAUCCAAAAGCAGGAAAUCCGCUCUAAUGCUGGAAACUAUUCUUUAAAGAACUACACAGGACUUUUAAAAGGGAAAUAAGAACACGUUUCCUAUGCACCUUCUUAAGUGCUAUGGUGGGCACUUGACUAGUUGGAUUCAUUUGUUCCUGAGACCACGGAUGACUAGUAAUUAUUUUAAUUGCCCCAUGUGUGAAAGGGAAUCUUUUGUGUAUCUCUGAAGAUUAACUUGAAACAUAAAUACCCAUGCUUGAAAGACAGGCAUUGAACACCGUGUGGGGGCGAGAGAAUCGUACUUAUGGAUCGUAUGGAUCAUACUGUGAGUCUGUGUGGAGGCAGGAGGUAACAGGAAGAAAUAUAAAGAUCAGAUCCUAUGCCUUGGUGGAUGCCAUGAUGGAAACCAUCACCGAAACCCUGCAGUUCAGCUGGACUUUCAAUUGAUUGAAAAAUGAUGUUUUUGCCCAUCUGCUUCACCACAUAGUGGCAGAAGCUGCGGCCCCUUCUUCCAAAAGCUGUCCUUGGGAGACAGAGCAGCAAGGUUUUAAUUGCUCCUUGAAG